This 497-nucleotide ribosomal RNA is filed under the name uncultured bacterium. RNAcentral describes it as "bacterial SSU rRNA". It matches the Rfam family "Bacterial small subunit ribosomal RNA", at positions 903 to 1397 of the family's 1533-position model. The record is from RNAcentral.
AAAGGAAUAGACGGGGACCCGCACAAGCAGCGGAGCAUGUGGUUUAAUUCGAUGCAACGCGAAGAACCUUACCAGGGCUUGACAUCCCUCUGACCGGUGUAGAGAUACACCCUUCUCUUCGGAGACAGAGGAGACAGGUGGUGCAUGGUUGUCGUCAGCUCGUGUCGUGAGAUGUUGGGUUAAGUCCCGCAACGAGCGCAACCCUUGUCUUUAGUUGCUAACAGGUAAGGCUGAGCACUCUAGAGAGACUGCCGGUGAUAAACCGGAGGAAGGUGGGGAUGACGUCAAAUCAUCAUGCCCUUUAUGUCCUGGGCUACACACGUGCUACAAUGGUCGGUACAAUGGGCGGCGACCUAGUGAUAGGAAGCGAAUCCCACAAAGCCGAUCCCAGUUCGGAUUGCAGGCUGCAACUCGCCUGCAUGAAGCCGGAGUUGCUAGUAAUCGUGGAUCAGAAUGCCACGGUGAAUGCGUUCCCGGGUCUUGUACACACCGCCCGU